Long non-coding RNA from Oreochromis niloticus (Nile tilapia), 700 nucleotides. RefSeq lists it as uncharacterized. The transcript has 2 exons. The record is from RefSeq and is a predicted model, not a curated record. Lineage: Eukaryota; Metazoa; Chordata; Actinopteri; Cichliformes; Cichlidae.
GAAAACUAAACUCUUUUCUGCACAGGUAUACAUGUGAAAAUAGAUUAUACAUAUGAUUUAAAAUGAUGAGUACUUUCAAUUUAUAUAUAUAUUUCUAAUCGUUUUGACAAUGUAGCAGUUAAGUAAAGGUUUUACUUUGUUAUUUUUUUGGUCUUGGUUUGUUUUAACUGCUCCUGUCAUAUUUCCUUUCAGGUCCUCAAGAUGACCUUUACUCAUACAUUGUAAUCACAUUGUCUUUCCCUUGGUUGGAAUGGAUGACCAUGAACAGGCUAGUACAACUUCAAGCCAGGACACAAACUGUACAAACUGUUGCAUCUGUUGCAGUUUUGACACAUUUCUGCGACACUGCUGUGAUUCUUUAUCCAUUUCACCUGCUGCUUUUUGUGAAUUAUCCUUGUCAUUUGCCUGUGACGCAUGUCUGGACCAAUUUCUCGGUUCUUUAUUUUAAGUUAGGACAUCCCAGAACUAUAAAGUUUUGACUAGUUUGUUGGAUAUUAUGGAGAUUAGGCCUACUGUCACUAGCAUGCCUGUGCACUUUUUCAUUGCUUUCAAGAAGAUAACAUAUUGCUGACUUUCCUAUACUGUGCCCAUUUUUUCCCUUUAUCCUAUAUAUUGUUUAGGUGAUGUCUGUUAUUUUCAAAAUUACUUUCUAAACUGGGAUGCCAAUGUGAGAGUGAAUGGCUGUCUCUUUUGCCUGUGA